AUGAACGCUAGCGACAGGCCUAACACAUGCAAGUCAGGGGCAGCACAAGGAGCAAUCUGAGGUGGCGACCGGCGCACGGGUGAGUAACACGUAUGCAACCUGCCUGUAAGCGGGGAAUAACCCGUUGAAAGACGGACUAAUACCGCAUAAUACUAAAUUACUGCAUGGUAAUUUAUUUAAACAUUUAUGGCUUACAGAUGGGCAUGCGCAUGAUUAGCUAGUUGGAGAGGUAACGGCUCCCCAAGGCAACGAUCAUUAGGGGUCUGAGAGGAAGGUCCCCCACACUGGUACUGAGACACGGACCAGACUCCUACGGGAGGCAGCAGUGAGGAAUAUUGGUCAAUGGACGAGAGUCUGAACCAGCCAAGUCGCGUGCAGGAAGAAUGUCCCUAUGGAUUGUAAACUGCUUUUGCAGGGGAAUAAAGUGCAUCACGUGUGAUGUUUUGUAUGUACUCUGCGAAUAAGGAUCGGCUAACUCCGUGCCAGCCGCGGC
Molecule: ribosomal RNA, 493 nt
Filed under: uncultured bacterium
Lineage: Bacteria
Description: bacterial SSU rRNA
Rfam family: Bacterial small subunit ribosomal RNA
Source: RNAcentral